GAGAGCCGGAUGACGGGAAACCGUCACGUCCGGUUCGGCGGGAGGCCGCGCGGAAAAGGACCUGCCACGGCAGACCCUCGC
This 81-nucleotide non-coding RNA is filed under the name Streptomyces sp. Ag109_O5-1. Lineage: Bacteria; Bacillati; Actinomycetota; Actinomycetes; Kitasatosporales; Streptomycetaceae. The record is from RNAcentral.